RNAcentral lists this long non-coding RNA (1068 nucleotides) under Zalophus californianus (California sea lion). RNAcentral's name for it is "lncRNA (ENSZCAG00015005989.1)". Lineage: Eukaryota; Metazoa; Chordata; Mammalia; Carnivora; Otariidae. The record is from RNAcentral.
CUCCGGUACCGCCGCCUGCGCCAGGAACCCCUCCUCGGGGCCACGCGAGAGCUCUCGGGCGCCGCGUCUGCGCCGGGGACGGCUCCGCCCAGAGUUGCAGCCAGAGGUCGGGCGCUCCUGCCCCGCCAAGCGCAGGCCUCGGACCUCGCCGCUGUCAGAACUGGAGGUGUUGGGUACGGUCGGUCACGCUUCACUGACGAUUGAGGUGCCCCAGUUUCCCCGAGGCGAGCAGGGAGCGGAGCGAAUCCGGAUUCCCUUGCCUGGAGCGGGGCCGGCUUUUCGGUUUCGUGAGUUCAGAAGGAAACCCGGACGCCAACCAAUCUUCAAGUCGAAGCCUCGCAGCAAGUGGCCUCACCUGCUUUGGCCGCGCCUUGCCCAGGAACAACGAAGAGAAGACCUUCUUAUUUACUGUCACCAAUUAGCCGGGGCGCACACUCAGAGACCAGAGGGUCCCGAAGACAACUGCUGUCAACCAACCAUUCCCCACCCAAACCCACAAAUCUGAAACCUGAAUUUAUAUGAAUUCAGGAGAAACUGCUAUCCCUCCAUCCCAAGAGUACAUACUUCUCUGCCAUCUACAAAGGAAAAUGUGUUCUUGUCUUUCCGUGCUCGUAAUAAAGAAGGCGACCCCAAAUUCCCUCAUCUUCUGUCUUGAAAAGUCCCUCUGUAUUAACAGAUGUAGUAAAAGUCCCUCCUGGGGACUUUUACAUAGAUGACCAGAACCGAACCUCUCCUUACACGUCCACCACCAGAGAGUCUCAAGCUCCAGUCUCCAUGUGAAUUUCUUGGGGAGUAGCGACUCUUCCAUUGCCCUUCCAGUAGAGUUUAGGUGGCCCUGUAGUUCCGCCUUUGGCAAGAGAGCAAUUUCCUAGGAGUAACUGGGUGGCCUGGCUGCAAUCCGCCUGCCUCUUCACACCGAGAAACGCUUCUCUUGUGGGAACGUCUGUUUCUAUUCAUCCGAUUUUCUAAUUUCUUUGAUCAGCUUAAAUAUUUUCUUGGCAAACGGAAAUUGACCAUGCCAUGAAUAUGAUAACAACCUGCUUGAAAAAAAGCUAUUUUGUUUCCAAG